Molecule: long non-coding RNA, 264 nt
Organism: Alosa alosa (allis shad)
Lineage: Eukaryota; Metazoa; Chordata; Actinopteri; Clupeiformes; Clupeidae
Exons: 3
Source: RefSeq, a predicted model, not a curated record
CAACAGCUGAGAAAGCAGACAGACCAUCACCCAUCUCAACAAUGAAGUCAGCAGCUCUCCUCGUACUUCUGGCUGUCCUGCUCUUCGUAGAUGUGAGAGGGCAACUGGAUUCUCGGGGAAGAUGCAAGUGCCAGGGUGCAGGGGCCAAAGCCAUCCGCCCAAACCGCAUUGAGAGGCUAGAGGUGUUACCCCCUUCCUCGGCAUGCCCCAAUCUGGAAAUCAUUGUCACUCUGAAGGAUAAUGGAGGACAAAAGUGUCUGGAUC